GGAGGGGUGGCCGAGCGGUUUAAGGCGACGGUCUUGAAAACCGUUGUAGGGUAAUACUCUACCGUGAGUUCGAAUCUCACCCCCUCCGCCA
This 91-nucleotide transfer RNA is filed under the name Nitrospiraceae bacterium. RNAcentral describes it as "tRNA-Ser". It matches the Rfam family "tRNA". Rfam says of the family: Transfer RNA (tRNA) molecules are approximately 80 nucleotides in length. Their secondary structure includes four short double-helical elements and three loops (D, anti-codon, and T loops). Further hydrogen bonds mediate the characteristic L-shaped molecular structure. tRNAs have two regions of fundamental functional importance: the anti-codon, which is responsible for specific mRNA codon recognition, and the 3' end, to which the tRNAs corresponding amino acid is attached (by aminoacyl-tRNA synthetases). tRNAs cope with the degeneracy of the genetic code in two manners: having more than one tRNA (with a specific anti-codon) for a particular amino acid; and 'wobble' base-pairing, i.e. permitting non-standard base-pairing at the 3rd anti-codon position. Lineage: Bacteria; Pseudomonadati; Nitrospirota; Nitrospiria; Nitrospirales; Nitrospiraceae. The record is from RNAcentral.